Molecule: long non-coding RNA, 644 nt
Filed under: Oreochromis niloticus (Nile tilapia)
Lineage: Eukaryota; Metazoa; Chordata; Actinopteri; Cichliformes; Cichlidae
Description: lncRNA (ENSONIG00000040920.1)
Source: RNAcentral
CUUUGGAGUUUUCCGCCAACAGCACGGGGGUGGACCAGUGCGCAGGCCAAGAGGCGGGAGAACCAGACAUCGCCAGUUAACGUUUAAGGUGUCAGUACUAAGGAAUCCGACACUGACCCACUACCGAUCUCAUAGGGAUGCCACUCCUGCUACUCGGGUGGUCGUUCCUGUAAACCUCAAUGCCGCUGAAUUCAGGCAGGCACUACGGGACAAUAUUGCAGACAUACCUUUGCAGUUCGAUCUAUGCAAAGUGAAUGGACAGCGGCUCAUUCUUCCUCUUGAAGAGGAGACGCCCCAAGAAAUUAGAGCAAGAAACCUACUGGGUCGCUCCAAUCUUUAUAUCCGUCCAAAGAUUACAGAAGCCAAUGACGACUCAACUGGUGGAGAAGUGGUGCAGUCUGAAAUGGCAAUUGUGCUGCAUGACACAGAGACACCUGACCAUGGCAGGCACAAUGUACAGGAGCCAGAGGUUAUCAGUGGUCUGCAUGAAAACCAUACAGCUAAUUCUAGUAGGCCUGGUCUCCAGGAACCAGAGGUUAACAGGGAAGAGUUUUACAUCGACUCUGCAGAGUCAGAAGUAUCAGACCUGGAUGAGGCUGUCCUGGCUUCCCCUGAACAAAAUGAUUCACAUGUAUGUGUCAUGA